Molecule: long non-coding RNA, 2329 nt
Organism: Bombyx mori (domestic silkworm)
Lineage: Eukaryota; Metazoa; Arthropoda; Insecta; Lepidoptera; Bombycidae
Exons: 3
Source: RefSeq, a predicted model, not a curated record
ACACGGAAUCACUCACCUAUCUGUCAUUUAGUAAAAGAAAAUUCAGUUUGGUAUGCUGUUUAAUUUUUAUAUUAAUUUUAAAAGAGAUUAAAGGUUUUAAAUGUUAUUUUAUUAUUAUAUACCAGAAAACGCGAAUUUGAACAGCCGUUGUUUAGUGAAAAUGGGACUUCACGCCGUGUCUCAAGAUGAAUUACGACGCGUCCAAUAUUUCGAGCUCUACGUUGUCAUCGCACGAAGCGGAAAUGUUACCGAAUCGAAUGAUCGCCCAUAUGAAGGCAUUAACUACAAUUACCACUGCGCCGAUUCUAUCACACUGCGCGCUUUGGAGAAACAUAGGCCGUGGUCAUUCUCUCCUUAAAACAUUUUUAAAUGCCUUCUUUGGCAACUUUAUUUAUAUUGUGUAGUUUUAGCUGCUUCAAGCCCGUAAGCAUGGCAACGUGAAUACGGCCAUAAUCUAUAUACAGUCAAACCUGGGUAAGUGAGAACUGGAUAAGUAAGAAAACUCUAUAAGUGAGAGUAAUAGCAAGGACCCGUCAUUUUAAGCUCCCAUAACCUCUAUUAGCGAGAAACAGAAACCUCUGUAAGAGAGAGUCGUUUUUUCCUCAUGUACCUCCGUAAGUGAGACUGCUACCUAUCUAUACCUCUAUAAGCGACAGCUGAGCUUUAUUUAUAUUAUUUAGGAGGAACAAAUGACAAAACAAAUUACAAAUUUAACAUCUGCUAUUUUAUGACUCAUUUUUAACUUUCGUGGAACUUCUUAUCAUUGUUUUUGUAUUGUUUUCUCGUGAAUAUUGAACCUAUUCUAUUUCGUGGAACUAAAUUACGUUGUUAUUUUAUCGUAUUCUUUUAUCGCAUUAUUUUCGAAUGGACACGUGUGCCUGUGUACCAUCCUGUUUGUCGGACUUACUCAGUUUAUCGUUAAUCAAUUGCGAAGGAAAGUUCUGUUCUGCAUCAUGUAAAAACGGAAAAUUAAAGUACUGUCAUUAAAGUCAUAAACUUAAAAUAGUGAAUGCAUUUGAAUGCGGAAAAUCGCGAAUCGAAAUUCAGAGGGAGCAUUAGCGAGAAACUCGGGUUAGUGAGAAACCUCUAUAAGCGAGAAUGAGAUUGUGCUCCCUUGAACUCUCGCUUAUCCAGGUUUGACUGUAUAUAAAAAUGAAUUGCUGUUCGUUAGUCUCGCUAAAACUCGAGAGCGGCUGAACCGAUUUGGCUAAUUUUGGUCUUGAAUUAUUUGUGGAAGUCCAGAGAAGGUUUAAAAGGUAUAUAAAUAUGAAAAUGCUCGGAAUUAAAUAAAAAUAACAAUUUUGUUUUUCCUUUGAUGUAUCCCCCGUCAGACGGAUUCCUUUUGUUUGUUUUAAUUUUAUUUUAUACAAAAGUUUAGGUCUUUUCUUUAUCGAUUGAGGCACUACGAAGUUUGCCGGGUCAGCUAGUUUGAGAGAUAUAUUUUUUAUUGUAAGACGUAAAAACGGUUACUCUUUGAAAACGAGUCACUUAACUGCAAAAAUUAAUAGUGCAGGGUCAUAAAUACGUUUUAUCGCUACUACGGUUUCCUACUGAAAGACUUUACUGUCUAAUGACAAUUUUAUAUCAAAUUAAUCGGUAAUUUAUAAUAGCCGAAGAUAACGCAAAAUCUAAGGAAUUAACCGCUCGAUUGAUCUUCAAAACCACGAGCCGAACUAUCCCGGACGCAUCGAGACCAGGAGAUGAUUGACGACAGAUCUCACGCUUCGUCGACUGUAAAUUGACUUCAUGCGAACGUACUGAUACAUUAUGAUGUACUAGAUAACCACUAGUAUGUAUGCUAAGCAAGUAUCUGUACAUCAGAAUAUUGAUUAUCGAUAUUAUGUUCGUAUUUUUUUUGCUAAGCAAGUAUCUGUACAUCAGAAUAUUGAUUAUCGAUAUUAUGUUCGUAUUUUUGUUGCUAAGCAAGUAUCUGUAUAUAAAAAUAUUGAUUAACGAUAUUAUGUUCGUAUUUUUUUUGCUAAGCAAGUAUCUGUACAUCAAAAUAUUGAUUAUCGAUAUUAUGUUCGUAUUUUUUUUUCUCUUUUAGCAGUCAGUGUUCAAUGUAAGUUUAUUCAUCUAGCACAUUCCAUGGAACACAAAUUGUGCAACAGUCCUUCCUCCCCAGUUCUACUGUUCUCUAGAAUAAAUGAAAAGUGUUCAGGCCAGCGCCUUCAAUUUUUUCAAUAGCAAUGUCAAAGAUGCUAGGAUUCUAAGGCGCUAAGCAUCACAGUUUAAUAACUCAAUGUAUUUCACUAUCAUUCGUUCAUUCACUACCCGCUCUUCAAGCACGCUGUACAUCUCCAUUUAAAUAUUAUAAGAAUGAUAUCAA